Molecule: long non-coding RNA, 2553 nt
Organism: Manis pentadactyla (Chinese pangolin)
Lineage: Eukaryota; Metazoa; Chordata; Mammalia; Pholidota; Manidae
Exons: 6
Source: RefSeq, a predicted model, not a curated record
UGGAGGCGGGAGGAGGGUGACGGAGGCGGCCCAGACAGCGGGCACAACGCCUCAGCUUGCCAUCGGGAGUCGUCACCUUUGCUGAGCUCGGAGGAUUUCACCUCCAGGAGUUCCUCAGCUGUCCGGAAGCCGGCAGACACCUGCUUCACCCGCACCGCUCUAGACAAGCGGAAACUCACUAAACCCCGCGGCACUUCAAAGCUGGAGGCCUGCGUGCUCUGCCGCGUCCUUUACGUCUGACGUAGGCGGAAGGGGCGGGGCCGCUGCUGUGCGGAGUUAUGCCCCAUUUUCCCACGCCCACACCGUGGUAAUCGUUUUUCUCCCAUAUCUCAUUGGAGUUUCCCCAUCAAAAGUACAUCCUGGCAGUAAAAGAUGGUUGCAGACCGCAGGAUGGAGAGUCAGGCCGUACACUGCACAUUUCCUCACCUCAGCCUUAGACCGAUGGUGGAGAUUAAAGGCUUGUUAAUAGGAACGAUCUCUCCGAGAGGGAGUAACGUACGCACAGUGGCCAGCUGCGGGUUUUGAGUAUGGAUCAGUCAUAUAAGCAUUUAACCCGCAUCCUCCUUAUAGGGUUGCGGGAUCCGCUCUUCUCGCCAGCGGUUCUCCUCGCCUUUCCCGCCCUUGCGCGGGAUUUGGGCCAGCCUCUCCUCGCCCCUCCCCUCUUCCCUCCCCUCUCCUCUCCCUUCUCCUUCGCCCCUCCCACCUCGCCGCGCACCCAGGGCCGCGCGGAACGCUCGGCGCCCAAUCCCCACAGCCACCCGCUCCUUCCCACGAGUCCAGCCUGGAGCUCGAUGGUUUCUGAGGCGGUUAGUUCUCAACGGCCCGCCGAGCUUAAGAAGUACCUGAGAAGGAAUCAUUACAUGAAAUUUGGACAUUUUUCUGAGAACUCUCAGUCCACAACAUUCAAGCCGCUUUCAUUAGCUGGAGGAAUCUGGACCUGAGAAAGGUCCACGUUGACUUACCCGUGGGUCAGGACAAGUGGCGCCUAACGUGGGUCCCGAGUACGGGGGACGCCGUGAGGAACGCUGUGCAGUGUGUCGGCCGACAAAGCAUAUAGAGACAGGAGGACAUCCACCCGGUGCUCGCCUGAAACUCGGCAUCGGGCUUGCCGCCUCCACCCCUCCCCAGUGGACCCUUGUACAGCAGACUAUUCUUGUUACCACUUACUGGAUCCUUGUUGGCAUCUUCCCACUUCUUAACUGCGCCUUAUAAAAGGAUGAAGCCCAUCAACUCUCGCAUUUUCACCUUCUUCGCUAGGUGUUCUGCCUUGGGAUUUCGUCCCCCUGGACUUACACCAACAGUGAGGGCCAUCAUCACACCGCGGGUCUGUGCAGAGCCCUUUGAAUUCUCCAAACACGUGUGUAGGUGGGGCCGCUGUGUGAGCUUUUCCCUAGUUUGCUCCCAUCAAAAUGAGAAUCACUGUUCAACUGAUCUGUCACUUAAGGGUGAUUAUUUGCUGCAGAUUUGAAAGAGCAUAUGUUGUACCUGUCCUUGAAGCUUUGAACGAACAACUUAUUUUUGGUAAUACGUGGACUGGACUUUUAAAUUGCAGUUUUAUCAAAGUUCACCUUUUUAGAGUUGCUCUUUCAGUUACGUGAAUAGCUGCUUGUUUAAGUGCGCCAAACAGUGACGUCACUAGCGCCGAGCCCUUGAAGGAACUAAUUUGUUUCCCUUUAAAUCCUAGAGUAUCUUUCCAGUUUUAUGGGAACAACCCUUACUGAGCAAAGGACGCGCUUAAUGAGAUCACAAAAGGGGUGUGGAAUAUGUAGAUUGGCGCAGUGACUGCUGGUCAUGCUUACACUAGGCAUAUAUUUCCCCAGAUUUUGGCAAUAUGCAGGUAUGCAAACUAGUGCGCCCUGGUAAUUAUAGUCUGGAGACUCUUUAUUCCAGAAAGAAAGGGAACGGUAGGAUGCAUGAGAAAAGUGUUCCUCUCUUUAGAGUGAUUUGAAGUGAGGGUAAGGUGCCAGGCAAAUCAAGGAGCUUGUAUUUGCUUAGCAGAUGCUAGUCCAUUAUGCUGUGGAUGUGCUGAUACCUGUGAUUUCCCCAAAUAUGGGAAACUUGACUGUAAUUUGUGGUAGUCGGGGCUGCUGUUCAUACCUUCCUGUGAUUUUAUUCGUUCAAGGGAUUGAAUGUGAGCUGGAUUUAGUGACUGACUUCUAACCAUUCAUGUUAUGUGACAGAAGUGAUGCUAUAAGCUUUCUGAGGCUAGGUCAUAAAAAGGAUAAUUUCCAUCUGGCUCCCUCUCUGGAUUGCUCACUCUGGAGGAGGCCAGCCAUCACGCUGUGGGGACAUUCAAUCAUGGAGCACGGGGACACCCAUAUGAGGAGGACUGAGGCUCCCUCCAGCAUCCGGCACCACCGUGGGAACCGUGUAAGUGAGCAGCACACCACCUUGGAAGUGGACCUCCAGCUUAUCAAGCCUUUAGAUCUGCAGCCCUGGCAGAGAUCUUGAGUCCCUUGUGAAAGACCCAGAGCCAGAACUACCCAAACUACUCCUGAAUUCUUGGCUCACAGAAAUUGUGAGGAAUAAAUGUUUAUUGUUAUUUUAAGCCAC